Molecule: ribosomal RNA, 483 nt
Filed under: uncultured bacterium
Lineage: Bacteria
Description: partial 16S ribosomal RNA
Rfam family: Bacterial small subunit ribosomal RNA
Source: RNAcentral
GACGAACGCUGGCGGCGCGCUUAACACAUGCAAGUCGAACGAUGAAGCCGGAGCUUGCUCUGGUGAAUUAGUGGCGAACGGGUGAGUAACACGUGAGUAACCUGCCCUUGACUCUGGGAUAACUGCGGGAAACUGUAGCUAAUACCGGAUACGACCCUCGGAGGCAUCUCCUGGGGGUGGAAAGAAUUUCGGUGAAGGAUGGACUCGCGGCCUAUUAGCUAGUUGGUGAGGUAAAGGCUCACCAAGGCGACGACGGGUAGCCGGCCUGAGAGGGUGACCGGCCACACUGGGACUGAGACACGGCCCAGACUCCGACGGGAGGCAGCAGUGGGAAUAUUGCACAAUGGGCGCAAGCCUGAUGCAGCAACGCCGCGUGAGGGAUGACGGCCUUCGGGUUGUAAACCUCUUUUAGCAGGGAAGAAGCGAAAGUGACGGUACCUGCAGAAAAAGCACCGGCUAACUACGUGCCAGCCGCCGCCGUAA